UUUUUUUUUUUUUUUAAGUGGAAGGAUACUAUUCAACCCAGGACAGAGCACUAAUCUCAUAAAAACUUCAUAUAUGUAAGGUGCUGGAAACAGUUGCGGGCACAUAAUACAUGCCACGGAAGAGUCAGCUCCCCUUCUUCCAUGUCUUUGGCAGAUGACAGCUGCCAUGGGACAUAAGAACGCUCUGUUACGUAGGAAUUCCGCUCCCUCUGUCUUGAGUCAAGAGUUCCUAAAAGAGCUGAUGAGGGCACAGGUAGACACAAUGUGUUUGUUACCAUUCAAUACCCCAGAUCAAUACCCUACCAAUAACUCAGGCUGGAGUGAGGAAAUAGCCACUACAAUCACUUCAUUUGUUUUUCAAAAACACAGAAUUUAUCAUUACAAACAAUGGACCCUUCAAAGCUGUCCUCAAACUAAGAUCCGUUUAGAAGGAGCCUCCAGAGAAGAGCCAGGGGAGAAGAGACACUAGCAAAUGCAGCAAUUUCACUGCUUAGAUAAGCUGUGAGUUUUGAUUCCAAACUGCUUUACAGAGCAUAUUCACCCCCCACAGCUUAGCAACUGAAUGACUGAGUCCAAACAUGAAAUUCAUUCUCUGAAAUGAGGAUUUGCUAUCUUUAGGAUAUCUUACUUUCAAAUUAGAGGAGGGGAAAAAAGAUUGAAGGCUCCUGCUCUUUCCUCUUUAAUAAAUAGGUCUAGGACAGUACCCAACUGAAAAGAAAUAGAGCCAGAUCUCAACUGCUAUCCUUGUAUCAAAAUAAAUUCCAGGGAUCCCUGGGUGGCGCAGCGGUUUAGCGCCUGCCUUUGGCCCAGGGCGCGAUCCUGGAGACCCGGGAUCGAAUCCCACGUCGGGCUCCCGGUGCAUGGAGCCUGCUUCUCCCUCUGCCUGUGUCUCUGCCUCUCUCUCUCUCUCUCUGUGACUAUCAUAAAUAAAUAAAAAUUUUUAAAAAAUAAAUAAAUAAAUAAAAAUAAAUUCCAGAUGGAUCCAAGACUUAAAGAUUUAAACACACACACACCAAGUACUCAAAGAAAAUGAAUAACUAUUUUUUAUAAUUUUGAGGUAGGGAAGCAUGCCCUUUCUUUUCUUUUUCUUUUUUUUUUUUUUAAGAUUUUAUUUAUUUAUUCAUAGAAACAGAGAGAGAAAGAGAGGGGCAGAGGCAGAAGCAGGCUCCAUGCAGGGAGUCCGACGUGGGACCCGAUCCAGGGUCCCCAGGAUCACACCCCAGGCUGCAGGCGGCGCUAAACCGCUGUGCUACCAGGGCUGCCCAGCAUGCCUUUUCUAAACACUGGCCUAGCAGCAGGAAAAACUAUAAGAAAAAAGAUUAUUUUGACUACCUAAAAAAACAAAACUUCCCAAGAGAAAAAAAAAUUGCAUAAAUACAGUCAAAAGACAAAAAUGACAAACUAGGAGCAAUUCUGCACUAUAUAUAAUUGUCAACACUUCAGCUCUUACAAAUUAUUAAGAAAAUAUUACUGGGAAAACAUGCAAAAGACAUGAGUAAGUGACUCAAAAAAUAUAUAAAUGUCCAACAUACAUUUGAGAAGAUGUUGAAUCUUUAAUAUAAAAAAGAAAUAUAGGGAUCCCUGGGCGGCUCAGCGGUUUAGCGCCUGCCUUUAGCCCAGGGCGUGAUCCUGGAGUCCCGGGAUCGAGUCCCACGUCAGCUCCCUGCAUGGAGCCAGAAUUCUCCCUCUGCCUGUGCCUCUGCCUCUCUCUCUCUCUCUGUGUGUCUCUCAUGAAUAAAUAAAUAAAAUCAUAAAAAAAGAAAUAUUAAUUAAAUUAUACUUAUUGAGUGACAUUCCAUCACUAUUUGAAGCAUUUUACUUAGAUUAACUGACUUAUUCUUCCAGAAACAGGUGCUAUCAUUAUGCUUACCUUAUCAAAGAUGAAACUGAGAGAGAAAUUAAAUGACUUACCCAAGGUCACACAGUAAGUGGCUGCAUCAGAAUUCAGGCCCCCCCCCCAAAAAAAAAAGAAUUCAGGCCCCAGCAAACUGGCUCCAGAGUCACAUACCAUAUCACAUCACAGCUAUCAGAGUCACCUGCUCAACUACCAUAUUAUAGUGACAAGACCACUUUUCACCUGUUAGAUGAGGAAGAUGAAAAACAUACAACCAGUAUUUUUAUUUUUUAAGAUUUUAUUUAUUUAUUCAUGAGAGAGAGAGAGAGAGAAUGAGAAAGGCAGAGACACAGGCAGAGGGAGAAGCAGGCUCCAUGCCGGGAGCCUGACAUGGGACCAGAUCCCCAGACUCCAUCCUGAGCCCCCAGGAUCACGCCCUGGGCCAAAGGUGGCGCUAAACCACUGAGCCACCCAGGCUGCCCACAACCUAGUAUUAUUGGCAAUGUAGGCAAUCUCAUGUGCUACUGGUAGAAGUUAACAUCAUAAAGGUAGUUGGUUCCAUGAAUCGUCAUUUUGAACAUGCAUAUCCUUUAACUCAGCCAUUCUAGUUCUUAGAAUUUAUCCUAAAGAGAUAAGUAGACAAAUGCACAAAGAUUAUAUACAGGGUGUUUAUCACAGAAUGCACACAAUAACAAAAAUACUACAAAUAGGGCCACCUGGCUAGCUCAGUCGAUAGAGUGUGCUCUAUCUCAGGGUCCUGAGUCUGAGCCCCACAUUGUGUGCAGAGAUUACUUAAAAAAAAAAAAAAAUACUGCAAAUAAAAAGCCCAACAAAUACACCAAAAGUCCAAGAAAUUCAUUCAUUCAACAAAUAUUUAUUGAAUAUCAACUGUGUACCAGGAACUGUUCUAUGUCACAGCUACAGAGCAGUGAAUAAAAAAAGAAGGAAAAAAAUUUGUCUUCAUGGAGCCUACAUUCUAAUGUAAGGUGUUGGCAAUAAACAAGAAAAGUAUAUAGUAUAUCAAGUGGUGUUAAACGCUACAGAGAAAAAUAAAGGAGGGAAGGGAGAUAGAAAUCCACCUACACCUACAAAUUCUUUAACUCUCCCCUUCCUUCCUCAUCCUUCUUCCUCCUCUUUUCAGAAGCCAGGCCAGUAAUAGGGAGAAAAGGAUAAAAGCCUAAGAUCAAGGCAAGCUGAUGGGGCCUAAGAAGGAUGGAGGGAAACCCCCAUAGAACUGGAUGGGAUUCCUCUUACUUCACCACAUGAGAAACAAUAGAUCCUGGGAUGCACGCUUCCUCCCUGCAGAUCUGUGAGAUCUGAAACAAAGCCAUCUGAUUCAGAUUCCCUGUUUCAUCUCCUAAAAACCCCAAGUGCCCUGCAGGGUAGGUUAAAACUGAGUCGCAAAGGGAAGUGACUAACCACAGCAGGCCAGAGCUCUGCCCCCAGCACACAAGUGCCUGUAUUUUCCUAGGAGCAGUAAAUGACACAGGGCUGAGCCCAUUUUACUCCCUACCUUAUCCCUUACUCCAUGUCUGCACCCAACAAGCUACCCUGGGUAAGUUAAACUCAUGCCCAAACCCAUACACUCACCACCUUGUAUGACUAGUCUAGAGAUUUAGUCGUCCCCACUAAGAUUCUUAAGCCUAAGUCCCUACCAAGAAAGUUGCCCAAGAUGACUUUUUCAGUCUGGGGUAAGGUUUUGAGUAGCCUGGUGGACAGGAUCCAAAUAUAUUUGCUCUCAGAUACGUGGAAGCCAAUUACACUUCUUGCCUGAGCACAAAGCCACUAACAAGGAAUUGGCAACUUCCCAAAGGUGGAGCCCAUGCUGCUAACCCCUAUUUAGCCUAAGGGUAGGAGGCACGUGAACAGAGGAGGGGACCUAAGGAAAGAGUGAACAGUUUCAAAAUAUUUCUUACAUACUCUCUGCCACUUCUUGGACACCAACAAUAACACCCUGUGUUAUGAGUUUUUAUAUACUAUCAUCAAAAAUGACAAAUCACUUUAGUCAAACAUUCCUACCAUAUGCUACUAAAUUUAGGAAGUCCAUGGCAUCCAGAGGGUCCAGCUGCCCUGCUGACAGUUGAAUACCCAGGCUUGACAUUAGAAAGAGGUCAGAAAUCUGAGACUGUCCUCAAUCUCAGGGCUGCAACACAGACAUCUCAUUACACACCAGCACACACCAGCACACACCAGCUUCUUCUCUCUCCUGGGCUUCCAGCAGGGAAUAUCCGUCCAAUCCACAUACCAUAUCCACAUACACACACCCGAAAUCCUCCAACACGCUUAGUCUACAAACGGAAGAAAUUCUUCACUAGUAAAGAGUACAAGAUGAGUCAGAGAAAAUCCAAAAGCAAUCAUCUCUUUGGCAGAGGAGCCUCUCUCUCUACCUCUCUUUUAUCUUCCUUGAACACGUAGUUACUGAGAAACUUCUAUUAUGCUUGUCACUAUAAGAUAGAACCAUAAGACAUGCCUCCCACCUUCAAGAAUUUACUCCAUUUGGAAAGACAAAAUCAGUGCAGCCCCGGGUGGCUCAGCGGUUUAGUGCCACCUUCGGCCCAGGACGUGGUCCUGGAGCCCCGGGAUCAAGUCCCACGUUGGGCUCCCCGCAGGGAGCCUGCUUCUUCCUCUGCCUGUGUCUCUGCCUCUCUCUGUGUCUCUCAUGAAUAAAUAAAUAAAAUCUUUUUUUAAAAUGACAAAAUCAACACACAGGAAACAUAUUAUAAAAGGGGGCUCCAAGAUUUCUAGUGCAUGGAACAGGAAGAACAGAGAGACGAAUAGUGGGGCAUCCUGACAUAUGCAGGUAUCUUCAAUUUCAAACACAAUCUCCCCCUUUUUUGGUUCCAUUCUCAGUAGAAAGAGGUUUCAUUUCAAGAAAAAUCUCAUAUACCAAAAUCCAAAUA
This 4734-nucleotide long non-coding RNA is filed under the name Canis lupus familiaris (dog). RNAcentral describes it as "lncRNA (ENSCAFG00845027136.1)". Lineage: Eukaryota; Metazoa; Chordata; Mammalia; Carnivora; Canidae. The record is from RNAcentral.